GACGAACGCUGGCGGCGUGCCUAAUACAUGCAAGUUGAGCGCUGAAGGUUGGUACUUGUGCCCACUGGAUGAGCAGCGAACGGGUGAGUAACGCGUGGGGCAUCUGCCUUUGAUCGGGGGACAACAUUUGGAAACGAAUGCUAAUACCGCAUAAUAACUUUAAACACAAGUUUUAAGUUUGAAAGAUGCAAUUGCACCACUCAAAGAUGAUCCCGCGUUGUAUUAGCUAGUUGGUGAGGUAAAGGCUCACCAAGGCGAUGAUACAUAGCCGACCUGAGAGGGUGAUCGGCCACAGUGGGAAUGAGACACGGCCCAAACUCCUACGGGAGGCAGCAGUAGGGAAUCUUCGGCAAUGGACGAAAGUCUGACCGAGCAACGCCGCGGGAGUGAAGAAGGGUGUCGGAUCGUAAAACUCUGUUGGUAGAGAAGAACGUUGGUGAGAGUGGAAAGCUCAUCAAGUGACGGUAACUACCCAGAAAGGGACGGCUAACUACGUG
RNAcentral lists this ribosomal RNA (497 nucleotides) under uncultured bacterium. RNAcentral describes it as "partial 16S ribosomal RNA". It matches the Rfam family "Bacterial small subunit ribosomal RNA", at positions 28 to 507 of the family's 1533-position model. The record is from RNAcentral.